AGUCAGUCGCAGCUCGCGCGUGCGGGAGGGAGGGAGGACACAUUGAAGCUCAUAGAAAGCUCGUGCGACAGUUUUAUCCUCGAUGAUUAUUUGUUUUUUUUUUUACUCUAUUUCCUCUGAUUGGAUGCGUUCAGAUCACGCAUCGAUCUCGGCGGGAUUGAAAUAGUUGGAGGAUAUUGACUGGAGUGGAGUUAGCUUAAUGUGCAAGUAAGUGGGAUGCUGCCUUUAUGUGAUUGAGUUGUCUCUGGCUUCUGUGUAUUUAUAUUUUAUUUUAGUCCACAGCCUGCUUUUUAAAGGCAGUUGCAUGUAUUCCUGGAGGCUGCUUAAUUCUGGUGUGUUUCUUGUAAACUGUAGCUGUGACAUUAGCAUUAAAGGAUGUUUGGUGGGAACUUUAUUGUCUUAAAGGCCCACUGCUGUGUGCCUCAAAACUGAUGCAGUCCUAACAAUGUAUAUAUAAAAAAUAACAACAACCCUGACAGCCUAAAAAAUGGGUUUAUUUACCACCAAAUGAUUGGGACAGGGUUGCAAAUGGAUGGGUUAGUGUGUCUGAUAAGGCCUUGCUUCAAGUGUUUCAAGGCAAAAAGUGCCACCUCAGCAUCAAACCGAGACUGUGGUUGAGCAUGCUUAGAGUUUUGGCAUCACAGUGUGUUUUAAAAUGGUUUCUUAAAGUUGAACUUCAUGAUGGGCCGAGAUGUGUGAGUGUGUGUGGAUGUGAAACACGUCUUUGAAGCCAGUGCCUCAUUUUAUUCAUCUAUUGAACUUGUUUUCAUCUCCUUAUGAGAAUUUCACAGCUGAAAUCCACGGUAGAGCUUUUCUUUUAUUGUGCAUCUUGUCUAUAUGUUUUGUGUGUGUGUGAGUGAGUGAGUGAGUGUGUGUGUAUGAGGAGCUCAGUGUGAACACAGGCAGCCUCUCUUUCGCUCUCUCUCCCUCCUUCAUCCUCUCCUCUCUCUCUGUUGGUGUUGGAGGGGCGGCCCCUUUAA
This 980-nucleotide long non-coding RNA is filed under the name Xyrichtys novacula (pearly razorfish). Lineage: Eukaryota; Metazoa; Chordata; Actinopteri; Labriformes; Labridae. The record is from RNAcentral.